GGAUUGCCUCAGUAACGGCGAGUGAAGCGGCAAGAGCUCAAAUUUGAAAUCUGGCCCCCUCGGGGUCCGAGUUGUAAUUUGCAGAGGAUGCUUCGGGUGCGGCCCCCGUCUAAGUGCCCUGGAACGGGCCGUCAUAGAGGGUGAGAAUCCCGUCUGGGACGGGGUGUCCGCGUCCGUGUGAAGCUCCUUCGACGAGUCGAGUUGUUUGGGAAUGCAGCUCUAAAUGGGUGGUAAAUUUCAUCUAAAGCUAAAUACUGGCCGGAGACCGAUAGCGCACAAGUAGAGUGAUCGAAAGAUGAAAAGCACUUUGAAAAGAGAGUUAAAAAGCACGUGAAAUUGUUGAAAGGGAAGCGCUUGCGACCAGACUCGCCCGCGGGGUUCAGCCGGCAUUCGUGCCGGUGUACUUCCCCGCGGGCGGGCCAGCGUCGGUUUGGGCGGCCGGUCAAAGGCCCCCGGAAUGUAGCACCCUUCGGGGUGCCUUAUAGCCGGGGGUGCAAUGCGGCCAGCCUGGACCGAGGAACGCGCUUCGGCACGGACGCUGGCAUAAUGGUCGUAAACGACCCGUCUUGAAACACGGACCAAGGAGUCUAACAUCUACGCGAGUGUUCGGGUGUCAAACCCGUGCGCGCAGUGAAAGCGAACGGAGGUGGGAGCCCCCCCGCGGGGCGCACCAUCGACCGAUCNGAUGUCUCGGAUGAUUGAGUAGAGCGUAAUGUGGGACCGAAGAUGUGACUAUGCUGAAAGGCGAGCAGAGGAACUCUGGUGAGGCUGCAGCGGUCUGACG
RNAcentral lists this ribosomal RNA (784 nucleotides) under Aspergillus ochraceus. RNAcentral describes it as "eukaryotic LSU rRNA". It matches the Rfam family "Eukaryotic large subunit ribosomal RNA", at positions 72 to 891 of the family's 3401-position model. Lineage: Eukaryota; Fungi; Ascomycota; Eurotiomycetes; Eurotiales; Aspergillaceae. The record is from RNAcentral.